This 1019-nucleotide unclassified non-coding RNA is filed under the name Hevea brasiliensis (rubber tree). Lineage: Eukaryota; Viridiplantae; Streptophyta; Magnoliopsida; Malpighiales; Euphorbiaceae. The record is from RNAcentral.
CUGCCAUCUGAUCUUGGUGGGAAAGCAUUUUUGAACUCGUGUCCUAAACCAAUUGCUGGUGAAGUUCCCCAUUGGAAGAUGUAUGAAUAGGGUUUUUCUUCCUUUCUAUCAUUUUCAUGGUAAUGCUCAGGGCAAAAUUUUUGCUCCAUACUGGUCCAUGGAGGAUUUGGCUGAAAGGCGAUGCAUUUAAAGCAUUAUUUCGUGGAAAUGCUCACAAUAGACUUGAGACAUACUGCAAGACUGAGGAAGUUUUGAUGGAUGUUCUUAUUUGGGGAAUUGCUGCACAGAACAGAGUUCCUCUUAGGUUUCAUGGAUGGUGCCAUCAACUGAUUUCAUAAGACACCUAUCACGAGGAAAAGAUGCACUAAGAAAGUUUCAUUUUGAUUACCAAUACCGCUACAACUAGGUUUGUUGAGAGAGGAACCAUCAGAGUUCUAUUACAAGAAGCUAAGGGGAGGAGGUGGCGAACCAAAGUGAGGAAGUGCACCUCAUACCUCGGAUCAGAGUUCAUAGGGUAAAAGGGGUCAAUCAAGGUACCUGCUGUUAGCAACAAACUUGUUGAUAUCCCUUCUGAUGAUUAUUCGCGGAGGAAGUAUUUACAACAGAUAAUCAAGGGUUCUCCUCAUCCAAGGCACAUCAUCAAAUGCAGCCAUGUGAUCUUUAAUUGCAAGUUCUGAAGCUCUAAUUUCCCAUGGAAUAACUCCUGACUGAGCUUGAAUUGCAUGGAACAGUUCUGCAUUAUCAGUUUCAAGAACAAAAGAAAGGGCAGUUUGGAUCUGUGUUGAAGCACUUUUCACAAGUUCUUUUCUUUUCAAAGUUCUCUUCAUUGAAGAUUUGAUAUAUUAAAGGCAUAAGUUGAUACUCGCAUUUGCCUGAUUUGUUGAUAUUAUGGCAAUGAAAUCUGUCGUCUGACUCAUUUUCGUUUAUUCUUUAUUUUGCAUGCAAAUAUAAUCUUUUGUUAACAAUCAAGCUGUAAUUGCAGACAAUGACUGACAAAAAAAAGCUAGGUCAUAUGAUAA